Long non-coding RNA from Chenopodium quinoa (quinoa), 1419 nucleotides. RefSeq lists it as uncharacterized. NCBI's taxonomy places the organism in Eukaryota, Viridiplantae, Streptophyta, Magnoliopsida, Caryophyllales, Amaranthaceae. The record is from RefSeq and is a predicted model, not a curated record. The transcript is spliced from 7 exons.
AAAGAGAAGAGAGAGAAUGAUUUUUGUGCCCCGAACUGCAGAAAUGAGGAGGGUAUCUACACUCUUUAAAAGAGAGAAGAUAUGCGGAACUAUUCAUUAUGAACAGUAGGACAGUGUGACACCGGAUAUACCCUUGCUUUGCUUAGUUAUUUACGGUCUUGCCAUUGUAUGCUAACUUUUAUUGCUGUCCACUUCAUCUCUGUCCUUUUUUUUCUUUUCUUUUUCCCUGAAAUCACUUGCCAUCACUCAUUUUUCCCAUCUUCUUUUCUCUUUCCUUUUUUUUUUUCUGUUUGGUCUCCAUCGAAAGUCUUUCCGAGCUUCAUCUGCUGAAUGCUUUGUCUUUGGUGAAGGUGUCAGUGAAGGUCCUAAGCAAAGAGCAAGUAGAUGCUUUAUCAGCAGAAUUGCAGGAACGUGCUUCGAUCACAGCAAUUUAAAGGGACGUGCUGAAUCAAUUUAAAGGAACGUGCUGAAUGUAUGUGUUGAAAAAGAUUCGUCUAGCUCGCCAAACAGAAAGAACUAAAAGAUCUGCUCAUCAGAAGGAUUCGUUGCGUGCGUAGUUGUUCAUUAUAUAUAGGGAUGGAAAAUGCAAAGGAAAUUGAAAUUGCAAUUGCGCAUUAUAAAAGUUUUGUAGAGUUCAUAUGCGCAUCAUGGAGGUUCUGAAACUGGGAGUUUUGGGGAUGGAACAAGAGAUUUAUCAGAGGAAGGUUGCCGUUGAUUUGGUGUUGAAAAAUGCAGCAAAUGGAGUGCAGAGUGCAAUUGAUCAAGCACCUAUUGUGGUGGAAGACCUCGUUAGAUACCUAAAUUGGGUUGAGCAGGUUACUAAUGAAGGUAGUUCGCAGUUUAAAAGAUUAGAAGAAGAUAAGAAAAAAGAAAAGGAGACACUUAAUUCAGUUCUAAUGAAGUAUAACAAGAGGGCAAUUUAUAGGAGUCAAUGAAUUAUUUUGGAUAUGUGGUUUGUUGUGGUAGUAGAUAGCGUAGUAAAUGUUCCAAUUAUAGUUUUUAAAGGAAGUAAUGUAUUUUUUAUUUUGAAUGUUGUAUAUAGGAAGCUGGGAGUUAGUUAUUUUGAAGGUGGUUGCUAUUUAGAUAUUGGUAGGAGGUUAAAUAGAUUGCAACUUGUGUAAACUCCCGAAUUUUGUUGUGUUUUUUGAAUGAUAAUUAUGAUAUCAAUGAAAUUGUUAUGGUUUAUGAGAUUUGUAGUUGGAUUGAAGUUAAUCUUUUGAUUGGUUUGUUAAUAGAAGAUACAAAUUCCUUUUCUCUCUUUUCUUUAUUCUGUAAAGAGUGGUAAAUAAUUACUAGAAUGAUAUAAUAUAAUAAAUUAAUAGAUACCGUUUAAUAGAUUACAUUUUGCUUCGGGCUUUUAAGUUGUGAUACAUUUGUUAGUAAGGGUAGUUAAUCUUGUUUAAUAGGAAAAUUUUUUAA